RNAcentral lists this ribosomal RNA (253 nucleotides) under uncultured bacterium. Its description in RNAcentral is "partial 16S ribosomal RNA". It matches the Rfam family "Bacterial small subunit ribosomal RNA", at positions 524 to 776 of the family's 1533-position model. The record is from RNAcentral.
UACAGAGACUGCAAGCGUUAUUCGGAUUCACUGGGCGUAAAGGGUGCGUAGGUGGUCGGGUAAGUCUGAUGUGAAAUCUCCAAGCUCAACUUGGAAAUGGCAUUGGAUACUAUUCGGCUAGAGGGUUUGAGGGGGGACUGGAAUACUUGGUGUAGCAGUGAAAUGCGUAGAUAUCAAGUGGAACACCAGUGGCGAAGGCGAGUCCCUGGAAAACUCCUGACACUGAGGCACGAAAGCUAGGGGAGCAAACAGG